GGAGGUCCGAACCCACGAGCGUUGAAAAGCUCGGGGAUGACUUGUGGGUAGCGGUGAAAUUCCAAUCGAGCCCGGAGAUAGCUGGUUCUCCCCGAAAUAGCUUUAGGGCUAGCCUCAAGGUGAGAGAUACGGAGGUAGAGCACUGAAUGUCCUAGGGGGUAUUGCACCUACCGAAGACUAUCAAACUCCGAAUGCCGUCAUCUUAUACUUGGGAGUCAGACUGUGGGUGAUAAGAUUCAUAGUCGAAAGGGCAACAGCCCAGAUCGUCAGCUAAGGUCCCUAAAUGUAAGUUAAGUGGUAAAGGAUGUGGGAUUGCACAGACAACCAGGAUGUUGGCUUAGAAGCAGCCACUCAUUCAAAGAGUGCGUAAUAGCUCACUGGUCGAGUGAUCCUGCGCCGAAGAUUUCCGGGGCUAAAACUUACUACCGAAGCUACGGCAUCAGUAAUGAUGGGUAGGGGAGCUUCCCAUACGGGUUGAAGCAUGACCGUAAGGACAUGUGGACAGUAUGGGAGUGAGAAUGUUGGCAUGAGUAGCGAGAUGUGGGUGAGAAUCCCACAGGCCGUAAACCCAAGGUUUCCAGGGGAAGGUUCGGCCGCCCUGGGUUAGUCGGGACCUAAGCUGAGGCCGAAAGGCGUAGGUGAUGGACAACAGGUUGAUAUUCCUGUACUACCGAUAACCGUUUGAGAGAAGGGAUGACACAGUAGGAUAAGCUAAGCACACUGUUGGUUAUGUGUGCCCAAGCAUUGAGGCAGUCAAAGUAGGCAAAUCCGCUUUGAUAAUGCUGGGAUGUGAUGGGGAGCGAAAUUUAGUAGCGAAGUAGCUGAUUUCACACUGUCAAGAAAAGUCUCUAUCGAGGUUAAAGGUACCCGUACCGCAAACCGACACAGGUGGGUGAGGAGAGUAUCCUAAGGCCA
This 915-nucleotide ribosomal RNA is filed under the name Clostridioides difficile. RNAcentral's name for it is "bacterial LSU rRNA". It matches the Rfam family "Bacterial large subunit ribosomal RNA", at positions 768 to 1689 of the family's 2925-position model. The record is from RNAcentral. Lineage: Bacteria; Bacillati; Bacillota; Clostridia; Peptostreptococcales; Peptostreptococcaceae.